This 260-nucleotide ribosomal RNA is filed under the name uncultured bacterium. RNAcentral's name for it is "partial 16S ribosomal RNA". It matches the Rfam family "Bacterial small subunit ribosomal RNA", at positions 94 to 354 of the family's 1533-position model. The record is from RNAcentral.
AGCGGCGGACGGGUGAGUAACGCGUGGGCAACCUGCCUUACACAGGGGGAUAACAGUUAGAAAUGACUGCUAAUACCGCAUAAGACCACAGUACUGCAUGGUGCAGUGGUAAAAACUCCGGUGGUGUAAGAUGGGCCCGCGUCUGAUUAGGUAGUUGGCGGGGUAACGGCCCACCAAGCCGACGAUCAGUAGCCGGCCUGAGAGGGUGGACGGCCACAUUGGGACUGAGACACGGCCCAAACUCCUACGGAAGGCAGCAG